Molecule: ribosomal RNA, 215 nt
Filed under: Glomeromycetes sp.
Lineage: Eukaryota; Fungi; Glomeromycota; Glomeromycetes
Description: partial small subunit ribosomal RNA
Rfam family: Eukaryotic small subunit ribosomal RNA (bases 60-215)
Source: RNAcentral
GCUGCACUAGUCUCUAUGGUAGUACUGUUGCGGCCGGGUCUUUUCCUUCUGGCUAACUCUUCGGAGUGAACCAGGACGAUUACUUUGAGGAAAUUAGAGUGUUCAAAGCAGGCCUUUGCUCGGAUAUAUUAGCAUGGAAUAAUAGAAUAGGACGUUAUGGUUCUAUUUUGUUGGUUUCUAGGACCAUCGUAAUGAUUAAUAGGGAUAGUUGGGAA